AAUUGAUAAAGGCAAGUUGCAAAGAGAAGGUGUGUGUUUGCCCCACUCCACUCCUCACAAUCACAACACAUAAAUAAUAAAAAACAAUAAUAAUACACAAAUCUUCUUCUUAAAAAGUUUCCGCAAUUCACAUUCUUCUUUUUUCUCGUAACUCUCCAAAAUUCAUCAUCAUUACACACAAAAACACAAACGUUAUGUAACUGCAAAACGAGAUUCCACACUCUCCUCUCCUCUUAGUCAAAGAGCUUCAUGCCGAUGGUGUGACCAACCCCAAAAACAAAAAAUAAAAUACAAAAAAGUUAGUCCUUCACAUGUUUCUUAAGUUUCAAGCAUUGAUUUGUUUUUAUUUUUUCCCUUUUAUAAAUAGUUUACCACUUAUCUUCAAUCUUUAUUCAUAAUAUCUAUCAAAAGAUUUAUUUCCCUUUUGAAAAAAAGGAUUUGGUUUCCUUUCUUGUUAGCUUUUUUAUUUCCUAUCUUUGGUUCAUCAUUUUGGUUUAUGUGUGUUCUUUGUAUUUAGAUGGUCAAAGUGAGGAAUUGGGACAAGAAGUGAAGAAAGAACACAAGAUCAUGUUUCUUCUUCUUCUUCUUCUUCUUCUAAGUCACUAAAGAGAGAUAGAGAGAGAAGAGAUUUAUCCAAAAAAAAACUUUUUUGUAAUCAUCAUUUCUUGAGAGUUUAAUAAUGCCAGUCCCUCUUGCACCAUAUCCAACUCCUCCGGCUCCGGUGAUGGCGCCGCCGUAUGCUCCUCCGCCGACACAUGGUAAAAAACAAAAAAAAUCCUCUGUUUUCAGUUUCUUUAACAAAUGUUUUUUUAUAUAGAAGAAGAUUACUUUUUUGUUUCAUUGAUUCUUUGAAAGAUCAAUUUUUAUUUGUUACCACAUGUGUUCGUUCAUAAUUAAAUUUGGUCAAAAAGUACAUAAAACACUUUGAGAUUUGUAGGAGGGAGUACAAGUGGACAGAGCCAGUUAGUGUGUUCAGGUUGCAGAAACCUUCUGAUGUACCCGGCCGGAGCAACCUCUGUCUGUUGCGCUGUCUGUAACGCCGUCACGGCCGUUCCUCCGCCGGGUAAUUAUUUUUUUCAAAUCAUCAUAAAACAAAAAUAGUUUGGUUAAAGAGUGUUUUGUAAUAAUCGAUUGGGGGCAAUGUAGGAACGGAGAUGGCACAGUUGGUCUGUGGAGGAUGUCACACUCUUCUUAUGUACAUUCGUGGAGCUACAAGUGUUCAGUGUUCUUGUUGUCACACUGUUAAUCUCGCCCUCGAAGGUUUGCAUUAGAUAUAUAAAUUAUUUACAUGCAUAUUGAUCGAUCUUUGCUGUUUAAUUAAAUAUGAUUUUUGAUUGAUUUUUUUUUUUGGGGUUUAAGGAAUAUAAGUAACAAAUAAAACCGUUUUAAAACUAGUUUUACGAUUGAUUUCGUUAUUUAUUAAAUUAUAUUAUAUGUCGGUUUUAUCAACAACAUGCGGAUUUAAACUCAUAUUAUUUAAUAUUAUAUUAUAUCUCUGGGCUAGUUUAUUAUUUGUUGUUAUUCAAAACUUUAAAAGAAAAAUUACUUUUAGUUUUGGUUUUUGGUUUUUAUGAUAAAACAAGUUUUGUUUACAUGUGGGUCAAGUUUAGUUUUAGGUUUUGAGAUAUGAAUAAGAGAAAUAAAAACUAUUAUGAGAGAAAAUGGUCUAACUCUCUUAUUAUGUUCUUGCAUGUGUGUAUUCAGCCAAUCAAGUGGCACAUGUGAACUGUGGAAACUGCAGGAUGCUAUUGAUGUAUCAAUACGGAGCAAGAUCUGUGAAAUGUGCCGUUUGUAACUUUGUUACAUCCGUUAUUGGGGUUAGUCCUCGGUAUCACCCAAAAGAACACCAAAUUAUCUCUUCCUCUUCUUUACAUGAGAAUGCUUCUUUAUAUAAUAAUGUUUUUGAUAAUGCUUUUGUAGGGUUCUUCGAGCACGACUCCUGAUGUGAAGUUUAACAACUAAAACUUGGACCAAACCUAUCAAAUAUAUAUUGAGUUAUGAGCAAUAUAUAGAGGAAGAAUCAAAUCUUUUGUUAUGUCUCUCUUCGAUCAAGAAUCCGGCGGUGUGAUGUUUUCAGAAGUAAAUAAUAAAAAAAAUAUGUAAUCUGUCGAAACUUAUGUGACUUUGGCCUCUUUGUUCGUUUGUAUAGGGCUAUCUAUCUAUCUAUUUAUCUGUCUAUCUAUCUCUCUUAAGUUUCUUUGUCUUUUCUUCUUUGUCUUUUGUUUCUCUUAAGUAAAAAUGUAUUCACCAGUUUGUAAGAGUAAUUCAUAAAUCAAAAAGCUAAAAUUUUAUGGUGAAGAAAAGAGAUUGUUUUUUUUUUAAUGCUAAUUAAUAUGCAUAUAUGAGUUUUAUUUUCUCUUUUCAAGCAAAAUUGUCAGUUACAAUUAAAUUGUGUUGCAUCUAAAAUAUUUAUUAACUUCUAACUAAACUAUACCACUAAUGUAAGUUCUUUUUUUAAAAAUUAACAUUGAAAUUUUUAGCAAAAUAUUUACUAAAAAACUCUAGAAAUUCAAUUUGAAAAAAAUAAAUCUAAAAUUUUUAAAAACGAAUAUUAGGCUUUGAAUGAAUGUUGCGGAUAAAGUGUACUAAUCCAUAGAUGAUUUAGUUCACUCUAUUCAUAAGAUGAACACCAAUAUACUACAUAUCAAAUUUAUUUAUACGUUAAAACAGUCUAUAGUUGGUCUACUGUGAUUUUUGUUUUUUGGAUAUUUAUCAAUACGAACUAUAAUUUUUAGAAUGACAAUAAAAAAGUGUUUCAAUCAUAAAACAGUUUUUUUCCGUCCCACCAUAACUGUUCGAACUUAGUAUACGUCUAAAUGAAAAAUACAACACGUAAGUAAGAUUAAUUUUGAUGUAUAUGAAUCAAAUAAAACUUAUCCUCUUAAACAAAUAAUUUGAUUCUUUUUGUUGAAUAUUAUCGAAUCUAACAAAGAAGAUGUUUACGGUUCGUACCUAAAAUAACAAAAAAAGUAGGACAAAACAGUACUAGGAACGAAGAUGUAAUAGAUAAAACAGAUUCCAUGCAAAAUCUGUAUGUCUAUGCAUAUAAACAGACUCACGGGUUCACUUACGAUUUGAUCUUUGGUUGGUUUAUAUGUCUUUCGAAUGUCUUUUCGUUUCUUUGGAUCACGGCAAAGACUUAUUGAUGAAACCUUUUGCUUGGAGAAUUGAAAUUUGUUUUUUUUUUUUU
RNAcentral lists this long non-coding RNA (3190 nucleotides) under Capsella rubella. RNAcentral's name for it is "long non-coding RNA (CRUB_LNC004879)". The record is from RNAcentral. Lineage: Eukaryota; Viridiplantae; Streptophyta; Magnoliopsida; Brassicales; Brassicaceae.